Saccostrea cuccullata (small rock oyster) is the source of this 351-nucleotide long non-coding RNA. RefSeq lists it as uncharacterized. NCBI's taxonomy places the organism in Eukaryota, Metazoa, Mollusca, Bivalvia, Ostreida, Ostreidae. The record is from RefSeq and is a predicted model, not a curated record. The transcript is spliced from 3 exons.
CUUGUUUCUUUUUUAUUUAGAGUAAGUGUGACUUUUACUUAGAAAAUCAAUAUACAUUUCGGAAAUUGAAACAAGAGUUGGAAAAAUCAGCACCAGCAGAAACACUUCAAGUCAUCCAACAGACAGUAGACCUUAAUGCUAUCACCAGUGCCCAGUUGUACGUGAGACAGCUGACGUUUGAGACCCUCCACCUCUGUGAUAAAUAUAAAAUCUGUGAUUCUAUUCCAGAACUACUCAGCUCACUGGAUGAGGCUUUGGAAGUUGAUGCUAAGAGGUGUCUGGCAUCAAAUGGUGAGAGCUGGGAGCAGCAUGAUUCCAGUAUUAAAGACAUGAUCAGGCUACAGAUGAAGG